Long non-coding RNA from Helianthus annuus (common sunflower), 931 nucleotides. RefSeq lists it as uncharacterized. The record is from RefSeq and is a predicted model, not a curated record. NCBI's taxonomy places the organism in Eukaryota, Viridiplantae, Streptophyta, Magnoliopsida, Asterales, Asteraceae. The transcript is spliced from 2 exons.
AUCCCAUUCCGAUUAAUCCCUAUGUUGUACCUCACCGCCCGACUAGCGCCUAGCGCCUUCUACAACAUUGGCUAGGAGUCUACACAGGGACAUUGUGACACAUUGGAUUCCUCGAGAGCUUGGCAUAUUGAAACAUCGUAUCGACCAAGCAAACGAGAAAAGAUGGAGAAAAGAAUAUCCUUUUUUAGUAAUUGAUGGAACUUACUCUAUACUAAUCUAAAUUUAGGGGUGUUCACAGCUCAGUUCAGCUGGUUUUGACAAAAUUUCUCGGCAGAACCUCUAUGUAUGAUGUCACAAUAUUGCAAACCCAUCCGGAAUCAUUCGGUUACGCUGUUUGGACAGAUUGAACCGGUUGUUAUAUUUAUAUUUUUCAAAUUUGUUUGUAUUAAAUUCUUAAAAAUUAUUGAAAUAGUUCAUGAACAUACGAAAUGGCGAUGAAACUGGAGAAUUUUUUUGGUUCCCUGGAGCAGCUAGAAAAGUCAAGAAAACCAUCUAUUGUCAAAAGUCCAAGUCAAUUGUUUGACUUUAGUAAAGAAAAGUCAAGCAUGGAUAAUAUGAGCAAGGUGGAUGUUGAAGACAUUGAAAGCUCUCAGUGGUUUGUUACAUGGCCGAGGGGUGAAAAGGUGGGGCCUGUGUCGUUAUCGGUGCUCAAGAACUGUAGUCAGACCCAAGCUACAUCAAAAUCUAUGAUUUAUAAGAUAAGUGAAAGCAAAGAACAGGCCAAGCCACUGACUGCUGUGCUGAAUCUUGCUUUUUCUAAAAAAUGAUCAUGUUUUCAGGUGUUCUUUUGAAACUUAAGUUUUGACUUUGCUAAAGUCAAAGUAGUAUGUGCAGUUUAUGAGUCUGUUUUUAGUGGUGGUAUUAUAUAAGAGCAAGAGACUAGAGGUUUUGGAAACAUGUUGUUCAUAGUCUAAGAACAGGUAAGACUGGU